UACGGAGGAUGCGAGCGUUAUCCGGAUUUAUUGGGUUUAAAGGGUGCGCAGGCGGCACGGCAAGCCGGCGGUCAAAUCGCGGGGCUCAACCCCGCCCAGCCGUCGGUACUGCCGGGCUAGAGUGGGCGAGAAGUGCGCGGAAUGCGUGGUGUAGCGGUGAAAUGCAUAGAUAUCACGCAGAACUCCGAUUGCGAAGGCAGCGCACCGGCGCCCUACUGACGCUCAGGCACGAAAGCGUGGGUAUCGAACAGG
RNAcentral lists this ribosomal RNA (252 nucleotides) under uncultured bacterium. RNAcentral describes it as "partial 16S ribosomal RNA". It matches the Rfam family "Bacterial small subunit ribosomal RNA", at positions 524 to 776 of the family's 1533-position model. The record is from RNAcentral.